ACAGGGCGGAGGUGAGGAGGAGCAGGUCCGUCUGCCCAGCACAGGCCUUUCCCCAAGCCCCCUGGCCUCUACCACUGGGACGUGCCUGUGCCAGGCUUGGUGUCCCCUGAGCCUGCCACAGCAGUUCUGGGUUCUGCAUGUCGUGUUCGUCAAAGUACAUGGUGUCGCCACCCCUCAUGUUACAAAAAAUUGACACGGAUGACCUCCUGCAGCACGCAGAGGUGGAUGCCACGGUCUGUCCUCCAGGUGUUCGUGGGACAGACAGGAAGCCAGCGAUUUCCACAGGAGGUGCCAUGGGUGUGGUCAGAGUGACCACAGGGUUUCCGUGAGGCAGAGAGUAGGGGUGCCGCUCGAUGCUCUUCGGGCUCUGAGUCACUAACAGCCGGUGCCCGUGCGUCCC
Molecule: long non-coding RNA, 400 nt
Organism: Eubalaena glacialis (North Atlantic right whale)
Lineage: Eukaryota; Metazoa; Chordata; Mammalia; Artiodactyla; Balaenidae
Exons: 3
Source: RefSeq, a predicted model, not a curated record